GAGUUUGAACCUGGCUCAGGAUGAACGCCGGCGGUGUGCCUAAUACAUGCAAGUCGUACGCACUGGCCCAACUGAUUGAUGGUGCUUGCACCUGAUUGACGAUGGAUCACCAGUGAGUGGCGGACGGGUGAGUAACACGUAGGUAACCUGCCCCGGAGCGGGGGAUAACAUUUGGAAACAGAUGCUAAUACCGCAUAACAACAAAAGCCACAUGGCUUUUGUUUGAAAGAUGGCUUUGGCUAUCACUCUGGGAUGGACCUGCGGUGCAUUAGCUAGUUGGUAAGGUAACGGCUUACCAAGGCGAUGAUGCAUAGCCGAGUUGAGAGACUGAUCGGCCACAAUGGAACUGAGACACGGUCCAUACUCCUACGGGAGGCAGCAGUAGGGAAUCUUCCACAAUGGGCGCAAGCCUGAUGGAGCAACACCGCGUGAGUGAAGAAGGGUUUCGGCUCGUAAAGCUCUGUUGUUGGAGAAGAACGUGCGUGAGAGUAACUGUUUACGCAGUGACGGUAUCCAACCAGAAAGUCACGGCUAACUACGUGCCAGCAGCCGCGGUAAUACGUAGGUGGCAAGCGUUAUCCGGAUUUAUUGGGCGUAAAGCGAGCGCAGGCGGUUGCUUAGGUCUGAUGUGAAAGCCUUCGGCUUAACCGAAGAAGUGCAUCGGAAACCGGGCGACUUGAGUGCAGAAGAGGACAGUGGAACUCCAUGUGUAGCGGUGGAAUGCGUAGAUAUAUGGAA
Molecule: ribosomal RNA, 738 nt
Filed under: uncultured bacterium
Lineage: Bacteria
Description: bacterial SSU rRNA
Rfam family: Bacterial small subunit ribosomal RNA
Source: RNAcentral